AGCUGAGUGGCGCAGCGGAAGCGCGCCGGGCUGUUCGUAAUCACUCUAUCUGCUCUUGAUUAUCACUUCUAACAUCGCUGCAGCAUAACCCGGAGGGCAAUGGAUCGAAACCAUUCUCAGCUA
Oleoguttula mirabilis is the source of this 123-nucleotide non-coding RNA. The record is from the annotation of a GenBank genome assembly. NCBI's taxonomy places the organism in Eukaryota, Fungi, Ascomycota, Dothideomycetes, Mycosphaerellales, Teratosphaeriaceae.